This 253-nucleotide ribosomal RNA is filed under the name uncultured bacterium. Its description in RNAcentral is "partial 16S ribosomal RNA". It matches the Rfam family "Bacterial small subunit ribosomal RNA", at positions 524 to 776 of the family's 1533-position model. The record is from RNAcentral.
UACGUAGGUGGCAAGCGUUGUCCGGAUUUAUUGGGUUUAAAGGGUGCGUAGGCGGCCCUGUAAGUCAGUGGUGAAACUCCGAGGCUCAACCUCGGAACUGCCUUUGAUACUGCAAGUCUCGAGUACGGGAGAGGGUAAUGGAAUAACAGGUGUAGCAGUGAAAUGCGUAGAUAUCUGUUAGAACACCAAUGGCGAAGGCAGUUGCCUGGCCCGUUACUGACGCUAAAGCACGAAAGUGUGGGUAGCAAACAGG